UACGAAGGGGGCUAGCGUUGUUCGGAAUUACUGGGCGUAAAGCGCACGUAGGCGGACUUGUAAGUCAGGGGUGAAAUCCCGGGGCUCAACCUCGGAACUGCCUUUGAUACUGCAAGUCUCGAGUCCGGAAGAGGUGAGUGGAAUUCCUAGUGUAGAGGUGAAAUUCGUAGAGAUUAGGAAGAACACCAGUGGCGAAGGCGGCUCACUGGUCCGGUACUGACGAUGAGGUGCGAAAGAGUGGGGAGCAAACAGG
RNAcentral lists this ribosomal RNA (253 nucleotides) under uncultured bacterium. RNAcentral describes it as "partial 16S ribosomal RNA". It matches the Rfam family "Bacterial small subunit ribosomal RNA", at positions 524 to 776 of the family's 1533-position model. The record is from RNAcentral.